GGGAACACUAAGUGUACAGACUUUUUAUUCCUCUUUUAUCCAGGACACCAGGUAACAUCAUCACCACUGUCGUUAUACACAGUGUGCACAGUGCCAAACAGCAUCAGAACUACUCAGGAUGCCUGGGAGUGCUUCUAUCCUAGAAAAUCUGUGACAAGUGGAGCUCCUCAGCUGUCAUUUUUUCUAUGGAAAAGCUGAGCAGUGAAACAGUGAGACCAAGCAAAGAGAACUGCAGGCGUUACCCCUUGGUUCAUCUGUCCACUCCUGCCAGAUUCAGGAUGCUCCUGUCCCAAGCCAAUGGAUGUAUUUCUGCAGACUGACUGUGUGGGUACCAUGAGGGGUGGCAUAAAGUUUGGUUUAGAGCAUAA
Long non-coding RNA from Pipra filicauda (Wire-tailed manakin), 368 nucleotides. RefSeq lists it as uncharacterized. Lineage: Eukaryota; Metazoa; Chordata; Aves; Passeriformes; Pipridae. The transcript has 3 exons. The record is from RefSeq and is a predicted model, not a curated record.